CCUACGGGAGGCAGCAGUGGGGAAUAUUGCACAAUGGGCGCAAGCCUGAUGCAGCAACGCCGCGUGCGGGAUGACGGCCUUCGGGUUGUAAACCGCUUUCAGUUCCGACGAAGCGCAAGUGACGGUAGGAACAGAAGAAGGACCGGCCAACUACGUGCCAGCAGCCGCGGUGAUACGUAGGGUCCGAGCGUUGUCCGGAAUUAUUGGGCGUAAAGGGCUUGUAGGCGGUUUGUCACGUCGGAAGUGAAAAACUCAGGGCUUAACCCUGAGCCGGCUUCCGAUACGGGCAAACUAGAGGAAUGCAGGGGAGAAUGGAAUUCCUGGUGGAGCGGUGGAAUACGCAGGUAUCAGGAGGAACACCGGUGGCGAAGGCGGUUCUCUGGGCAUUUCCUGACGCUGAGAAGCGAAAGCGUGGGGAGCAAACAGGCUUAGAUACCCUGGUAGUCCACGCCGUAAACGGUGGGCACUAGGUGUGGGGAACAUUCCACGUUCUCCGUGCCGAAGCUAACGCAUUAAGUGCCCCGCCUGGGGAGUACGGCCGCAAGGCUAAAACUCAAAGGAAUUGACGGGGGCCCGCACAAGCGGCGGAGCAUGCGGAUUAAUUCGAUGCAACGCGAAGAACCUUACCUGGGUUUGACAUAUACCGGAAAGCUGCAGAGAUGUAGCCCCCGCAAGGUCGGUAUACAGGUGGUGCAUGGCUGUCGUCAGCUCGUGUCGUGAGAUGUUGGGUUAAGUCCCGCAACGAGCGCAACCCUCCUCCUAUGUUGCCAGCGGAUAUUGCCCGGGACUCAUAUGAUACUGCCGGGGUCAAUUCAGACGACGGUGC
RNAcentral lists this ribosomal RNA (826 nucleotides) under uncultured bacterium. Its description in RNAcentral is "bacterial SSU rRNA". It matches the Rfam family "Bacterial small subunit ribosomal RNA", at positions 338 to 1176 of the family's 1533-position model. The record is from RNAcentral.